AAUGAUUCAUAUCUGCCAUUGGCAUAUAGGGUGGUAGAAAUUGAGCCAUCAGAUAUUGCAGAUACAGAUUCUGUCUUUCUUUCAAGAGCAGUUAAGUCUGCAAAAACAGCUUUGAGAAAUCCCACNNNNNNNNNNNGAGACAUUCUGCUUCAAAGCGAAACAUUCAAGUACUUGAAGUAAUCGAGGAUACAAGCCCCCUACCUAGCAUGCUUUCUCCACAAGAUUCAGCGGGUAGAAGUGGCGUUAUGCUGUUUCCAUCCCAGAAAGAUGCAUAUAUGUCCCCACGAGUGGGUCUUGCUGUUGCUAUUCGUCAUUCUGAGUUCUAUAGUCCUGGGAUUUCUCUUCUUGAGCUUGAAAAGAAGGAAAGGGUUGAUGUCAAGGCAUUUAGUUCAGAUGGAUCCUACUACAAGCUUUCGGCUCUACUCAAGACCUCAGAGAGGACAAAGGUUGUUCAUUUUCAG
This 461-nucleotide unclassified non-coding RNA is filed under the name Hevea brasiliensis (rubber tree). Lineage: Eukaryota; Viridiplantae; Streptophyta; Magnoliopsida; Malpighiales; Euphorbiaceae. The record is from RNAcentral.